Molecule: ribosomal RNA, 479 nt
Filed under: uncultured bacterium
Lineage: Bacteria
Description: bacterial SSU rRNA
Rfam family: Bacterial small subunit ribosomal RNA
Source: RNAcentral
UGAGCCGCGUAGGAUUAGGUAGUUGUGGGGUAAUGGCCCACCAAGCCGACGAUCCUUAGCUGGUCUGAGAGGAUGAUCAGCCACACUGGGACUGAGACACGGCCCAGACUCCUACGGGAGGCAGCAGUGGGGAAUAUUGGACAAUGGGCGAAAGCCUGAUCCAGCAAUGCCGCGUGAGUGAUGAAGGCCUUAGGGGUUGUAAAAGCUCUUUUACCAGGGGAUGAUAAUGACAGUACCUGGAGAAUAAGCUCCGGCUAACUCCGUGCCAGCAGCCGCGGUAAUACGGAGGGAGCUAGCGUUGUUCGGAAUUACUGGGCGUAAAAGCGCACGUAGGCGGUUACUCAAGUCAGAGGUGAAAGCCCGGGGCUCAACCCCGGAACUGCCUUUGAAACUAGGUGACUAGAAUCUUGGAGAGGUCAGUGGAAUUCCGAGUGUAGAGGUGAAAUUCGUAGAUAUUCGGAAGAACACCAGUGGCGAAG